This 103-nucleotide microRNA precursor is filed under the name Marmota monax (woodchuck). The record is from RNAcentral. Lineage: Eukaryota; Metazoa; Chordata; Mammalia; Rodentia; Sciuridae.
AGUAGGAUAACCGGGUCAAAUGGUGGUUCCAUUUCAAGUUUUUUGAGGAAUCUCCAUACUGUUUUCUAAAGUGAUUUCACCAAUUUGCAGUCCCACCAGCAAU